UAGACAUGCUGUUAACAAAGAAUAGUACUGCUAUUUCCAUCUGUAUGUUUUCCCAGUACUAGCCUAUCUCUCAUCGUAAUUUAUAACAGCACAUAGCUAUAAGGACUGUGUUAUAAACUUUGGGAAACAUGUUUUAUUUAAAAAAGGUGUUAUAAUUUUUGGUUUUACAUAUUCAUCAAUUGUAAAAAUGCAUUGGUAUUUAAAUUGAUUUAGUUUUUAAAAUUCCCUCAAAUUAUUCAAAAUGGCGGCUCUUGAGACCGGAAAUGCCCAGUUUUGAUGAUCGGUUAAUAAACUAACAGGUUGUAAGGAAAGAAAAUAUUACUUAAAUUUGUUUCAAUUAAAUGCAGAAUUCUUUAGAUAAUAUUAAGUAAAUAAUAUUGUUUUUUAACCAAAAUAAAUUUUAAAGAUUUAUCCCGGUAUUAAUCGUGGCUGUAUCGUGAUUGGCCAAAAUUUCAAACUUUGACUUUCGUGAAUUUUGAUUGGACAAUUGCCAUUCCGCCAUCAAAUUUUGAAAUGGGCAAAGAAGACAGGAGUUGUUGUGAAGAUUUUCCUGAUUUUUUCAAGAAAUAUGCAGAAUCACAGCGUGUUGUAUGUAGUAAUGAAACUGCAAGCAGUGGUUUCAUAAAGAUAGACAUGCUUAAGACCUGGAUGAUAUGGCUUUAGUUGUGGAUGACCAUUUCCAUUCAGGAAAAAAUCCCAACCAAGUCCAGCUAGCAGACUGUACACCAGAUUGAAGAUACAUCAUUAAUACAAGAUGAAAAAAAUUAAUGGAGGACGAGGAUAAUACUAUGAAAGAGAUCAGAUGCAAGAGCAACCGUUCCCAUAGAAAUACAUGCAGCCAUGUAAACAGAAACCAGUUUUCACCUGCCAGGUGCUGGUCACAUAUAUAUUCAACUUGGAAGUUCAACAGAUUCAAGAAACAGAUCCAGUUGUUUGCUGAUAAAUUACUGCAGGUCAUUGGUAUCAUCUAGAACCAGGACUGUUUUAAAAAUCAUACUAGUAUGUUUGGAACAAAAUCAUGCUAGUAUAUGUUAGGAAUUUAACCUAAAACAUGCUUUAAUUAUGAAGGUUUUGGUCAAAUUUUGGUUUACAAAAUAAUGUUUUUUCAAACU
Long non-coding RNA from Magallana angulata, 1112 nucleotides. RefSeq lists it as uncharacterized. The transcript has 4 exons. Lineage: Eukaryota; Metazoa; Mollusca; Bivalvia; Ostreida; Ostreidae. The record is from RefSeq and is a predicted model, not a curated record.